CCUACGGGAGGCAGCAGUGGGGAAUAUUGGGCAAUGGGCGCAAGCCUGACCCAGCAACGCCGCGUGAAGGAAGACGGCUUUCGGGUUGUAAACUUCUUUUCUCAGGGACGAAAAAAGUGACGGUAGCAGAGGAAUAAGCCACGGCUAACUACGUGCCAGCAGCCGAGGUCAUACGUAGGUGGCAAGCGUUAUCCGGAUUUACUGGGUUAAAAGGGCGUGUAGGCGGGAAAGCAAGUCCGAUGUUAAAACCCUGGGCUCAAGCCUCGGCCUGCUGUUGAAACUGUUUUUCUUGAGUACGGGAGAGGCAGACGGAAGUCGUAGUGUAGCGGUGAAAUGCGUAGAUAUUAGGAGGAACACCAGUGGCGAAGGCGGUAUGCUGGACAGCAACUGACGCUGAGGCGCGAAAGCGUGGGGAGCAAACAGGAUUAGAUACCCGGGUAGUC
RNAcentral lists this ribosomal RNA (443 nucleotides) under uncultured bacterium. RNAcentral describes it as "partial 16S ribosomal RNA". It matches the Rfam family "Bacterial small subunit ribosomal RNA", at positions 338 to 795 of the family's 1533-position model. The record is from RNAcentral.